Acinonyx jubatus (cheetah) is the source of this 2069-nucleotide long non-coding RNA. RefSeq lists it as uncharacterized. Lineage: Eukaryota; Metazoa; Chordata; Mammalia; Carnivora; Felidae. The transcript is spliced from 3 exons. The record is from RefSeq and is a predicted model, not a curated record.
CCAACCCCCGCUCCAGGCCUGUCCGGAGGCGCGCCUGGCCGAGAGCCAGCGGCAGGUCCCCGGGCUGCGCCUUAUCUCUCUCCUUUGAACCCAGCACCUUCGGCGCUCAGUCUGGCUUCUGGUUCCGUUCCGCUCGCCGCACGUCCGCGCGAUCCCCUCCUGCCGGGUCCCCUCUUCUGGCCCCGCCCAGACCCGCGCAUCUGCACCCACACCGCGUGUGCCCUGAUCGCGGGAGCACACGGGCCGGCCGGGCAUCGAUUGCUGGGGAGGCCCGGACUGUCUCGGGCCUCAGAAGCCACCUCGGGUUCCCCACUUGUCCCAGAUUGAAGACCGAGCCGCCCCAGUUCGGAGGCGUGGGGCGGAAGCGCGCGCAGAAGCCCACUAGCUGCCCAGUUGGGAGGUUGGGCGUAGCGGAGGGCAGGCGGGCGGGUGGGGUGCGGGGGGUCAGGAGGCAGAGCAGGGGAGACAGGCCCGCGUGGGUGGUGGGGCAGCCCCCAGCCCUCUCUUGCCGGAUGGAAGCGAAAGUGACCCGGGGUCAGCAGUGCGCGGGAGCAGGGAGCCCCGGCAAGCCUUGAACGGAAGACGAUCCUGGAUGGGGCGCAGAUGUGCGCGUCCUUCUCCCUCAAACCCUCCCUCCCUCCCUCCCCCUGUGCUCCCAAAAGCUCCUUUGUGCAUGGGGGAGAGGAAGGGCCGUAAAGCCACUUUCCCAGUUGCAGGGCCCAGGAGCUGCGGUUUUAUCGCCUUGCACGGGGGGGGGGGGGGGCGCUCAGAACGUGACAGUCGUCUGUAUUAAUAGUAACUGGAGACAUUGUGGAAGGGGGGAGUCCAGGCCCCAGGGGAGAAGCAGCAGAUCCCUGGAGAAGUAGAGGGGGAGGCCCCUGAAAGAGGAUUUGGGUGGGCCAGGGUCAGGGACAGAUUUCUUGGCUACCCUAUGCCCUCCUUUCUCCUGCCCCCACCCCAUGUGUGAGCAGGGAGUAUUCAGGACAGGCUUCCUGGAGGAGGUGACAUCUGAACCCUGAGAGGUGAAUGGAUGGUGGCCUUAAGUGGAGUUAGAGUCCAGAGGGCAGACCCAGGUGGAGGAUGCUGUACUAUCUGAAGAUGAAGAAAGGGGCCAUGAGCCAAGGAACGCAGAUGCUUCUAGAAGCCGGAAACACCUUCUCCCCAGGAGCUUCCAGAAGGAAAAUGUGGCCCUGUGGACACCUGGAUUUCAGCCCAGUCAGACCCGUUUUGGACUUCUGACCUCCAGAACUGUCAGAUAACUGUGUUCUUUUAAGCCACCAAGUGAGUGCUGACUUGUUACGGCAGCGAUAGGAGACUCAGACCCCCAACCUCCCGCCCAGAGUCCUGCUUGUGCUCUCAGAACCAACCCCCCCCCCACACACACACACACCUGGACUCAGUUUCCAAAUCAGCAGCCUGGGGCCCCAUCCAGGUCAGACCCACAAGCCCUGCAGCAUGCACCCCAUCACCCACCCCUCCAGACCUCUGGGCCCCUCUGGGGGUCUCCGGGGCUGCUGCUCCCUUGUUCCAGCAGGGUGGGGACUGAAGUCCCACAAGUCUGUCUGUCACUGCCUCUCUGUGCCCUGCAGUGCCCAACUCACGCCAGGCCUGCUGUCCCAGGCCUCUCUGUGUCUGGCUGUCCUCCCUGGCCUAGCCUUUGCCAAACAAGACCUCUGUCCUCAGUGGGGGGCUCCUCUCCCCAAAGGCAGGAGCCCCCAGUUCAGACAGUCCUGGGCUCAUGUUUGUGCUGUGUGAACUCGGGUGUGUGACACAGCCUCUCUGAGCCCCAAGGUGUCCUCAUCUGUGGAAUGGAAGAGAACCAGGCCAUCUGGGGGACAGAUAGGUGGAGGGACCCCUGCCUCCAUGCUGUUUCAUCCAAGUGGUCUGAGUCAGGGCUGGGGAGGGCUGGGACGGGUCGGAUGGGGUAGGUGGAGAAGCCUUUAUGCUGUCUGUUCCUCCUGCCUGGAACGCUUUUCCUUCUUCUUGCCAGUCCGCGUGGCCCCCUCCCGCCAUCCCUUGGGACUUUAGUCAGGGGUUCACGCUGUCCACCCAUCCUGCCACCCCCCUGC